This 1067-nucleotide long non-coding RNA is filed under the name Macaca mulatta (Rhesus monkey). RNAcentral's name for it is "lncRNA (ENSMMUG00000063568.1)". Lineage: Eukaryota; Metazoa; Chordata; Mammalia; Primates; Cercopithecidae. The record is from RNAcentral.
CAGACAAGGCUGUGUACUGCUCAGGCUUCCACUAUGACGACGCUUUGUGACAGGUAACCUACAAACUGUGAUUACAACAGACCAGGCUUCCUUUCUCCCAGGUCUGCAGGGGAGCCCGGCCCUCGCUCCAGGCCCCUGUGCACUCAGGUCCGCCCCAUUGUCUCUGUCCUGGGACCUGCGGCUGCCAGGCUGGCUCUUCUCACGGUGGAUGACAGCAGUGUGGAGGCCAAGCCAGACAAUCAGGCCAGGGGACAGCCCCCAUCAUGCCUGACAGCCGUGGGUCAAAGCCACUCACGUGGCUGAGCCCAGCGUCAAUGAUUCAGGAAAAAGCGUUCCGCCUCCUCCGGCAGGAAGCAUGGGCAGAGUGUGAAGUGCAGUCCAGACACAGGGAGGGAGUGGAAGGCUGCGGACUGGACGCCGCCCAGCCCUGGUUCCAGGGGGCACUCUGCCACUCCCCACAGCUUCCACGGAACACUCUGCCACCCUCCACAAGAGCCCCUGCAGCCAGCAGCACGCUGAGGUCUGCGCCUGCCAUCAGUGCCCCCCAGGUCUCCAGCAGUGGAAUGUGGGCCCCUCCUCCUGAUCUCCCAGGCUCUGGCCCAGCCAUCCUCCAGGGCCAGCCCUGCAGUCCCAUCCCAGGGCUAAGAGGGUGCCAUGGUCAUGCCCUGACGUGCCCAUGGAGAGGACAGAGGGAGCAGUGGCUUGCCCACCAGCUGCGGACUUGACACUCCCCACAGCCCCGUAGACUGGGGGUCUCACCAGGCCCCACAUGCUCUCCCACACAGGAGGUUUUAGUUCUCAAGAAAUGGUCACAAAACAAAUAAAGAACAAGGAAGCCAAGGUACAGAAAAGGGAUUUUUUGGCCAAAUGUAUGCAGCUGGUCAGCUGUCCUGGCUCUGGCAGCCCUGUGCCUCCCGCAGGACUCCUCACAGGGCCCUGUCCUCUUGCAUUUCCAAGGCAUGAAGGUCCUGCCAGGCGUGUGCACUUGUGGAUGCGUGUGUGAGAGUGUAUGUGCUGUGUGCACGUGUGUGUGUGCGUCUGCAUGUCUGCAUAGGUACUGUGUGUGC